This 1291-nucleotide ribosomal RNA is filed under the name Microbacterium sp. RNAcentral's name for it is "bacterial SSU rRNA". It matches the Rfam family "Bacterial small subunit ribosomal RNA", at positions 56 to 1356 of the family's 1533-position model. The record is from RNAcentral. Lineage: Bacteria; Bacillati; Actinomycetota; Actinomycetes; Micrococcales; Microbacteriaceae.
UGCAAGUCGAACGGUGAACACGGAGCUUGCUCUGUGGGAUCAGUGGCGAACGGGUGAGUAACACGUGAGCAACCUGCCCCUGACUCUGGGAUAAGCGCUGGAAACGGCGUCUAAUACUGGAUAUGUGACGUGACCGCAUGGUCUGCGUCUGGAAAGAAUUUCGGUUGGGGAUGGGCUCGCGGCCUAUCAGCUUGUUGGUGAGGUAAUGGCUCACCAAGGCGUCGACGGGUAGCCGGCCUGAGAGGGUGACCGGCCACACUGGGACUGAGACACGGCCCAGACUCCUACGGGAGGCAGCAGUGGGGAAUAUUGCACAAUGGGCGCAAGCCUGAUGCAGCAACGCCGCGUGAGGGACGACGGCCUUCGGGUUGUAAACCUCUUUUAGCAGGGAAGAAGCGAAAGUGACGGUACCUGCAGAAAAAGCGCCGGCUAACUACGUGCCAGCAGCCGCGGUAAUACGUAGGGCGCAAGCGUUAUCCGGAAUUAUUGGGCGUAAAGAGCUCGUAGGCGGUUUGUCGCGUCUGCUGUGAAAUCCGGAGGCUCAACCUCCGGCCUGCAGUGGGUACGGGCAGACUAGAGUGCGGUAGGGGAGAUUGGAAUUCCUGGUGUAGCGGUGGAAUGCGCAGAUAUCAGGAGGAACACCGAUGGCGAAGGCAGAUCUCUGGGCCGUAACUGACGCUGAGGAGCGAAAGGGUGGGGAGCAAACAGGCUUAGAUACCCUGGUAGUCCACCCCGUAAACGUUGGGAACUAGUUGUGGGGUCCAUUCCACGGAUUCCGUGACGCAGCUAACGCAUUAAGUUCCCCGCCUGGGGAGUACGGCCGCAAGGCUAAAACUCAAAGGAAUUGACGGGGACCCGCACAAGCGGCGGAGCAUGCGGAUUAAUUCGAUGCAACGCGAAGAACCUUACCAAGGCUUGACAUAUACGAGAACGGGCCAGAAAUGGUCAACUCUUUGGACACUCGUAAACAGGUGGUGCAUGGUUGUCGUCAGCUCGUGUCGUGAGAUGUUGGGUUAAGUCCCGCAACGAGCGCAACCCUCGUUCUAUGUUGCCAGCACGUAAUGGUGGGAACUCAUGGGAUACUGCCGGGGUCAACUCGGAGGAAGGUGGGGAUGACGUCAAAUCAUCAUGCCCCUUAUGUCUUGGGCUUCACGCAUGCUACAAUGGCCGGUACAAAGGGCUGCAAUACCGCGAGGUGGAGCGAAUCCCAAAAAGCCGGUCCCAGUUCGGAUUGAGGUCUGCAACUCGACCUCAUGAAGUCGGAGUCGCUAGUAAUCGCAGAUCAGCAACG